CACUGAUUAUAAUUUAAAGGGCCGCAGUAAUUUUGACUGUGCAAAGGUAGCAUAAUCGUUAGUUUUUUAAUUGGAAUCUUGUAUGAAUGGUUUGACAAAAAAAAAUCUGUCUUUAUAAUUAUUUAUUGAAUUUAAUUUUUAAGUGAAAAAGCUUAAAUAAAUUAAAAAGACGAUAAGACCCUAUAAAGCUUAAUAUUAAGAUUUUUAUUUAAAUUGAAUUUUAAAUAAUAUAAUAAUUUGGUGAAUAUAUAUUAUUUUGUUGGGGCGAUAUUGAUAAAAUAUUUAUUAACUGUUAAUUUUUUUAGACAAAUAUAAAUGUAUAAAAUAUUAAUUAUAAGUGAUCCUUAUUUGAAGAUUAAAAGUUUAAGUUACUUUAGGGAUAACAGCGUUAUUUUUUUUAAGAGUUCUUAUCGAAAAAAAAGUUUGCGACCUCGAUGUUGAAUUAAAAUAUCUAUAUAAUUGUAGCAGUUAUAUAAGAAGGUCUGUUCGACCUUUAAAAUUUUACAUG
Molecule: ribosomal RNA, 508 nt
Filed under: unidentified
Description: Shinobium trapezoideum partial 16S ribosomal RNA
Rfam family: Bacterial large subunit ribosomal RNA (bases 379-508)
Source: RNAcentral